Molecule: ribosomal RNA, 411 nt
Filed under: Triticum aestivum (bread wheat)
Lineage: Eukaryota; Viridiplantae; Streptophyta; Magnoliopsida; Poales; Poaceae
Description: partial small subunit ribosomal RNA
Source: RNAcentral
UCACCAGUAAUCGCCACAGGAGCAGGCUCCGUCCUUGAAAUGGUGGAAGCGUUUGGCGUCUCGCACCACGAUUUCCCUGUCGGCGAUCUUCGACAUGUACUUGAUGGCGUCAUGGCAGUCGCCGCAGACCCUGAGGUUCUUUAUGACCACGAGCCUCGUCCCUGGGCUCGUGUUCAGCAGCCCAAAGGCGAUGGUGUUAGGCCUCUCGCUGUGGCGGCUGAGAAGCUGCUCCUUGACGCCUUCCUCGAGGUCAUGCGGCGUAAAGAUUUGAGACCAAAGCAAGGACGCCGACAUCCCCAGGUUGCAGUUCAAGGAUCUUCUCUGCUGUGCUCUCCCCAAGUUCCAGCUUCUUGUUAUUCAGACAGCCUGAAAGCAGAGCGACCAAAAUUGAGAUGGUUGGUCUGGUGUGCA